This 465-nucleotide ribosomal RNA is filed under the name uncultured ciliate. Its description in RNAcentral is "SSU rRNA". It matches the Rfam family "Eukaryotic small subunit ribosomal RNA". Lineage: Eukaryota; Ciliophora. The record is from RNAcentral.
AUUUGUCUGGUUAAUUCCGAUAACGAACGAGACCUUAACCUGCUAACUAGAUUCUUCUAUACUAUAGAUGAUAUCUUCUUAGAGGGACUAUGUAAUACAAAUACAUGGAAGUUUGAGGCAAUAACAGGUCAGUGAUGCCCUUAUAUGUCCUGGGCUGCACGCGUGCUACACUGAUGCAUACAACAAGUGCCUAACCAGACAUGGUAUGGCAAUCUCGAAUAUGCAUCGUGAUGGGGAUAGAUCUUUGCAAUUAUAGAUCUUGAACGAGGAAUUCCUAGUAAGUGCAAGUCAUCAUCUUGCAUUGAUUAUGUCCCUGCCCUUUGUACACACCGCCCGUCGCUCCUACCGAUACCGGGUGAUCCGGUGAACCUUUUGGACCUUAACGGGGAAGAUAAGUAAACCAUAUCACCUAGAGGAAGGAGAAGUCGUAACAAGGUUUCCGUAGGUGAACCUGCRGAAGGAUCA